GACGAACGCUGGCGGCGUGCUUAACACAUGCAAGUCGAACGGAAAGGCCCUGCUUUUGUGGGGUGCUCGAGUGGCGAACGGGUGAGUAACACGUGAGUAACCUGCCCUUGACUUUGGGAUAACUUCAGGAAACUGGGGCUAAUACCGGAUAGGAGCUCCUGCUGCAUGGUGGGGGUUGGAAAGUUUCGGCGGUUGGGGAUGGACUCGCGGCUUAUCAGCUUGUUGGUGGGGUAGUGGCUUACCAAGGCUUUGACGGGUAGCCGGCCUGAGAGGGUGACCGGCCACAUGGGGACUGGGUUACGGCCCAGACUCCUACGGGGGGCAGAGGGGGGAAAAUUUGCACAAGGGGCGGAGGCUUGAGGCACAAACGCGGGGUGGGGAAUGACGGCCUCCGGGUGGUAACCGGCUUUGGCCUGGGCCGAGGCGGGGGGGCGGGAAUGGGUAAAGAAGCACCGGCUAACUACGUG
RNAcentral lists this ribosomal RNA (467 nucleotides) under uncultured bacterium. RNAcentral's name for it is "partial 16S ribosomal RNA". It matches the Rfam family "Bacterial small subunit ribosomal RNA", at positions 28 to 507 of the family's 1533-position model. The record is from RNAcentral.